AUACUCAUUUACAAUGAGCAAGUUCCUAAUUGGAAGUUUUAUUAUAUUACAAUUGCAUUACAUUGCUGUAUGAGAUUACUAUAUCAAGUAAAUCGUACCUUUUGCAUAAUGGUGAUACUAAACUACUAUAAAUAUUUUAACUCCCGAAAAUAAAAGAUC
RNAcentral lists this ribosomal RNA (159 nucleotides) under Albinaria turrita. Its description in RNAcentral is "partial large subunit ribosomal RNA". The record is from RNAcentral. Lineage: Eukaryota; Metazoa; Mollusca; Gastropoda; Stylommatophora; Clausiliidae.